CUCAUCUGGUUUGGCGCCUCCCUACAAUCUCACUAGAGUACGACUACUAUUUUUCUCUGAAGUUGCCUAUUUUGUGUAUAGUGCUAGACAUUAUGAGCUGCUCUAUUCUAUUUUGUGUACAUCUAGUUUGCCUCUAUCAGUAUUCUUUUUAAGAAGGCCGCGCAUGUCUCUCCAAAAUCUUCAACUUUCGGUCUCGUAAUAUUUCUGUAGGCUCUUCCUCACCUCACCUUUUCUCUCUCCCUGAUCGAGCACCUUCGCCAUGGGAGAGGAAGGUUGUUUCAUCCGCCUGCUGUACUGCUGCUCUAGGGGACAUGCACCUGCUUGUUGUGCUGCUGCUCUGUACGCCAUGGACAUCCCUCCUCUGGUUCUCCUCGCUCGUCAAGGUAGUAAGCUGCUCUAACCCAUCUUCCCCUCUCAAAUUCGGUACAAGAAAAUGAUUUUUGUAACUGGACAUCAAAAGCAGAACCGGUGUGUGUUGUUGGUCAAGCAAGAAGAAAGAAAAAAGGCAUCCGUUGCCUGCAAAACAAAUCUGUGUGUGUGCUGCUCUCCUCCUCCUCUGUUUUUGCUUGUGUCAAUUUGCUCCAACAGCUUGCGCGCGUGUGUGCAUCCAUUGGGAGAGAGAGAGGCUCUUGCCAACACCUCUACAAUCUCACCGGAGUUCUAUUUUUCUGUGAUGUUGCCUAUUUUGUUGUUGAAAUUGACCGUAUCCCUGUGUCAAAUGGAUAUUUUUUCCUCCAUUGAAAUGAAGCAUAUUGCUUUUGAGUGCUCACAUUGACAUUACUGUGGAAUAAAAUGUUCAUUAUAUGCUCUUCUGUUGAAUAACGUGUAAAACAGGUCCAGCCAUUUGCCAAGUCUAUUAUAUUUGUUCUAAAAGAAAAGAAAAAAAAAACAGGUUCUUGCCUAUCUAUAGUAUAUGUGUUUUCAAAAAAGCUGUAUCUUUUUCUUCGAGAGAGAUGCACUUCUGUAUCAACAUUCUUUUUAAAAAGUGACACAUGUCUAUCCAAAAUUUUGAACUUCAUGGCCUCGUAUAAUUUCUUGAGUUGGUGAAAGUAAUUGCCGGAUACUGAGAGUAACCACAACAGAUAAAUAUGUCAUCAAACCACCAUGUUCUACCCCAUUUUGGAGGAACAAGAUUAAAGUCAUACCAGCAGAAUUAACUACAUGAAAGGUCCAUCCUUUUCAGGAAAAACCCACCGUGCAGCCCUACGAGCAAGUUCAUGAGCAGAAGGAUUGAGCUCAAUCAAUAAAUUUGAAUACUGGCUAGGCACACAUCCACACGGAAACCAGUACUAGAUCGAACAGUAUUGACCAUGGGUUCAGGUUGACAAUGGUCAUAAACCUCUCAUCACUUUGGUAUGUUGAUUGACCUCUUUUUUGCACUGCAUGUGCAGGUGCUAAACAUUGGUACGUGUUGGUGGGGCUCGACAAGCUCACCCAGGGAGGGCACCCCCAAGCUGAACUCCAUGGAGCCCCGCUCCAGCGUCUAGGACAGGUCUUUGUUACUGGAUCCAUUACUAGGACAUGAUUUCUUCUUUUCCUUCUCCAUUUGAGAUCAACAUUCGUUAUGUCCUUCUUGUGCAGCAGCAGCAGGAUUCCAUCGGUACACGAGAUGACAAGGGGUUCAUCGAGGUGUGUGGUGGUAGGCUCUUUCGUUGGACCCGCUGCCUGUUCGGCAUCGGCUCCAUAACAGUCAUGAACCAACUAGCCUGUCCUUCCAUUUGUGGUAUUGAUGGCCAUGGACCACGGUUCUAGUAGUCGGCAAAGCACGUAUCUACUAACUGCUCCUAUCCAGGAUGCGUGCAAAAGGUGUCACAUCAUCGCGUUCCUAUUCUCAUCCCCCCGGCAAAACAUCAUUGUACACAAUGUUGAUGCAACAAUUGCAACUUGCAAGCUCUAUACUAGUUUCAAUGGAACCUGGGACUAGCAUAGGCCCUGGGACUAGCCGGGGUCCAAACAUAUAUUUUAUAUUCAAAUACAGUUGGAGUGAAUCAUCAUGUCUGUGUUGCUGGGUUAGUGUAGAAUAUAGCCCAUUCUUUCUAAAUUAGAGACUUGGUGGCUGGAGUAGGCACUAUGUAAACUGGGCAUCCUAUCAUUAUUCGGAUUCAGGAAAAACAGUAUAGCUCAACAUGUGAAUAUAUGUCCAGUUCUUUUUGGUUUUCAUGUAAAUGGUGAUAAUUUGGAAUAUAUCAAACCAUAGCCUGUCCUUACACGAUUA
This is a long non-coding RNA of Hordeum vulgare subsp. vulgare (domesticated barley), 2215 nucleotides long. RefSeq lists it as uncharacterized. The record is from RefSeq and is a predicted model, not a curated record. NCBI's taxonomy places the organism in Eukaryota, Viridiplantae, Streptophyta, Magnoliopsida, Poales, Poaceae. The transcript has 2 exons.